GACGAACGCUGGCGGCGUGCUUAACACAUGCAAGUCGAACGAUGAAGCUGGAGCUUGCUCCGGUGGAUUAGUGGCGAACGGGUGAGUAACACGUGAGCAAUCUACCCUUCACUCUGGGAUAACUGCGGGAAACUGUAGCUAAUACCGGAUACGAGGCUUGGAGGCAUCUCCAGGUCUGGAAAGAAUUUCGGUGAAGGAUGAGCUCGCGGCCUAUCAGCUUGUUGGUGAGGUAAUGGCUCACCAAGGCGACGACGGGUAGCCGGCCUGAGAGGGUGACCGGCCACACUGGGACUGAGACACGGCCCAGACUCCUACGGGAGGCAGCAGUGGGGAAUAUUGCACAAUGGGCGAAAGCCUGAUGCAGCAACGCCGCGUGAGGGAUGAAGGCCUUCGGGUUGUAAACCUCUUUUAGCAGGGAAGAAGCGAAAGUGACGGUACCUGCAGAAAAAGCACCGGCUACUACGUGCCAGCCGCCGCAGUAA
Molecule: ribosomal RNA, 482 nt
Filed under: uncultured bacterium
Lineage: Bacteria
Description: partial 16S ribosomal RNA
Rfam family: Bacterial small subunit ribosomal RNA
Source: RNAcentral